GACAGAGGGUGCAAACGUUGUUCGGAAUUACUGGGCGUAAAGCGCGUGUAGGCGGCUCGGCAAGUCGGGUGUGAAAGCCCUGGGCUCAACCCAGGAAGUGCAUUCGAAACUGCCGAGCUGGAGUCCCGGAGAGGAAGGCGGAAUUCUCGGUGUAGAGGUGAAAUUCGUAGAUAUCGAGAGGAACACCGGUGGCGAAGGCGGCCUUCUGGACGGCGACUGACGCUGAGACGCGAAAGCGUGGGGAGCAAACAGG
RNAcentral lists this ribosomal RNA (253 nucleotides) under uncultured bacterium. RNAcentral describes it as "partial 16S ribosomal RNA". It matches the Rfam family "Bacterial small subunit ribosomal RNA", at positions 524 to 776 of the family's 1533-position model. The record is from RNAcentral. RNAcentral also lists the same sequence under 1 other name.